UACGAAGGGGGCUAGCGUUGUUCGGAAUCACUGGGCGUAAAGGGUGCGCAGGCGGGUUCAUAAGUCAGAGGUGAAAGCCUGGGGCUCAACCCCAGAAUUGCCUUUGAGACUGCGUCGCUCGAAUCCGGGAGAGGUGAGUGGAAUUCCGAGUGUAGAGGUGAAAUUCGUAGAUAUUCGGAAGAACACCAGUGGCGAAGGCGGCUCACUGGACCGGCAUUGACGCUGAGGUGCGAAAGCGUGGGGAGCAAACAGG
RNAcentral lists this ribosomal RNA (253 nucleotides) under uncultured bacterium. Its description in RNAcentral is "partial 16S ribosomal RNA". It matches the Rfam family "Bacterial small subunit ribosomal RNA", at positions 524 to 776 of the family's 1533-position model. The record is from RNAcentral.